CCACUUGCGUUUCCGCUGAAGCGGUGGGGAAAAAAAAAUCCAAAACGGUUCGUUCGCACUAUCGUUCGAAUUUUGAAAGACUGGCGGAAAAAUAACAACACGAGAAAAAAAUUAACGGGUAGGCGCCCGUGGUUUACACAAUUCAUUCGAUGACAAUAAUAAUGUACAGGUACGAGUUUCAUGGUCGGCGCCAGAUUUUAUGACUCGGAGCACAAACAUUACGACGCAUAGAAGGUUACAACUAAUUAUAUAACAAAAUAUAGUCUCUUGAAAAAGAUCCGUUUCACUACGUGU
This is a non-coding RNA of Cinara cedri, 294 nucleotides long. NCBI's taxonomy places the organism in Eukaryota, Metazoa, Arthropoda, Insecta, Hemiptera, Aphididae. The record is from the annotation of a GenBank genome assembly.